GUUUUCCUUCGGGGCAGGGUGAAAAUCCCUACCGGCGGUGAUGAGAUGAUCUCUCUUAGCCCGUGACCCGUCUUGUGUCAAGACGGUGGAUUUGGUGAAAUUCCAAAGCCGACAGUUAUAGUCUGGAUGGGAGAAGGAAACU
RNAcentral lists this non-coding RNA (142 nucleotides) under Bacillus sp. (in: firmicutes). RNAcentral describes it as "Bacillus sp. FMN sequence". It matches the Rfam family "FMN riboswitch aptamer (RFN element)". From Rfam's summary of the family: The RFN element is a highly conserved domain that is found frequently in the 5'-untranslated regions of prokaryotic mRNAs that encode for flavin mononucleotide (FMN) biosynthesis and transport proteins. This element is a metabolite-dependent riboswitch that directly binds FMN in the absence of proteins. In Bacillus subtilis, the riboswitch most likely controls gene expression by causing premature transcription termination within the 5' untranslated region of the ribDEAHT operon and precluding access to the ribosome-binding site of ypaA mRNA. Lineage: Bacteria; Bacillati; Bacillota; Bacilli; Caryophanales; Bacillaceae. The record is from RNAcentral.